AAAUGAAUUGACGGGGGCCCGCACAAGCAGCGGAGCAUGUGGUUUAAUUCGAAGCAACGCGAAGAACCUUACCAGAGCUUGACAUCUCCUGCAUAAUCCGUAAUGGGAUGAAGUCCUUCGGGACAGGAAGACAGGUGGUGCAUGGUUGUCGUCAGCUCGUGUCGUGAGAUGUUGGGUUAAGUCCCGCAACGAGCGCAACCCUUAUACUUAGUUGCUACCAUUAAGUUGAGCACUCUAAGUAGACUGCCGGAGACAAUUCGGAGGAAGGUGGGGAUGACGUCAAAUCAUCAUGCCCCUUAUGUUCUGGGCAACACACGUGCUACAAUGGGUAAAACAACGGGACGCGAGAUAGAGAUAUUAAGCCAAUCCCUAAAAAAUACUCUCAGUUCGGAUUGUAGGCUGCAACUCGCCUACAUGAAGUCGGAGUUGCUAGUAAUCGCGAAUCAGCAUGUCGCGGUGAAUGCGUUCCCGGGCCUUGUACACACCGCCCGU
This 492-nucleotide ribosomal RNA is filed under the name uncultured bacterium. Its description in RNAcentral is "bacterial SSU rRNA". It matches the Rfam family "Bacterial small subunit ribosomal RNA", at positions 903 to 1397 of the family's 1533-position model. The record is from RNAcentral.